RNAcentral lists this unclassified non-coding RNA (375 nucleotides) under uncultured Gammaproteobacteria bacterium. RNAcentral's name for it is "contains 16S-23S intergenic spacer region". Lineage: Bacteria; Pseudomonadati; Pseudomonadota; Gammaproteobacteria. The record is from RNAcentral.
UCCAGUUCCUCACUGGCGGUCCCCUUAGAGUCCCCAACUAAAUGCUGGCAACUAAGGGCAAGGGUUGCGCUCGUUACGGGACUUAACCCAACAUCUCACAACACGAGCUGACGACAGCCAUGCAGCACCUGUCUCUGUGCUUCUUUCGACACCCCAGCUACUAAGCCAGGUUCACAGGAUGUCAAGGGUAGGUAAGGUUCUUCGCGUUGCAUCGAAUUAAACCACAUGCUCCACCGCUUGUGCGGGCCCCCGUCAAUUCAUUUGAGUUUCAACCUUGCGGCCGUACUUCCCAGGCGGAGAACUUAUCGCGUUAGCUUCGAUACUGAUAGGUUCCCCUAUCAACAUCUAGUUCUCAUCGUUUACAGCGUGGACUAC